AUGGGCGGCGACGGGCCGGCGAUCGGCGUCGACCUCGGGACGACCUACUCGUGCGUGGCAGUGUGGCGGCCCUCCCACAACCGCGUCGAGGUCAUCCCCAACGACCAGGGGAACCUCACCACGCCGUCCCGCGUCGCCUUCACCGACGCCUGGCGGCUCAUCGGCGACGCGGCUCUCAACCAAGCCGCAAGGAACCCCGUCAACACCGUCUUCGAUGCGAAGCGACUGAUUGGCAGGAAAUUCAGUGAUGCGUCUGUGCAAGGAGACAUGAAGCUAUGGCCUUUCAAAGUCGUUUCAGGUCCUUGUGACCGACCGAUGAUCGUGGUGCAGUACAUGGGCCAGGAGAAGAAAUUCACGGCAGAAGAGAUCUCCUCCAUGAUACUCGUUAAGAUGAAGGAGACUGCCGAGGCCUACCUCGGGACGUCGGUGAAGAACACCGUCAUCACUGUCCCGGUCUACUUCAACGACUCCCAACGCCAGGCCACCAUUGACGCCGGUGUGAUUGCUGGCCUCAACGUCAUGUGUAUCAUCAACGAGCCCUCUGCAGCAGCCAUUGCUUAUGGUCUUGACAAGAUGUCCGGCAGCAGUGAAGCGAAGACGGUACUCAUCUUUGAUCUCGGCGGCGGUACUAUGGAUGUCUCCAUUAUCAGUGUACAAAAUGGCGUCUUCACGGUCAAGGCCACGUCCGGUGGCACCCACCUUGGCGGGCAGGAUCUCAACAACCGGAUGGAGCUCAACAUGGACCUCUUCCGCAAGUGCAUCGAGCACGUCGAGAAAUGCCUCCGCGAUGCCAAGAUGGACAAGUCUAGGAUCCACGACGUCGUGCUUGUGGGCGGCUCCACCCGGAUCCCCAAAGUGCAGCAGCUGCUCCAGGAUUUCUUCGAUGGGAAGACGCUCUGCAAGAGCAUCAACCCUGACGAGGCCGUUGCCUACGGCGCCGCUGUCCAAGCUGCCGCCCUCAGCGGCGAGUGUGACCGCAAGGGGCAGGACUUCCUCCUGCUGGACGUCACCCCGCUCUCGCUCGGAGUCGAGGUUGUGCCUGGUAUCAUGAGUGUGCUGGUUCCCCGGAACAGCACCAUCCCGGUUAAGAGGGAGGGGCCAUACACGACAAAAUUCGACAACCAGACGAGCGUGCUCAUCAAGGUGUAUGAGGGUGAAGGGGAGUUGACCAAGGACAACAGGCUCCUGGGCACGUUUGCGCUUACCGGCAUCACCCCAGCCCUAAGGGGCGUGCCGAAGUUGAUUGAAACCAUUGAAGUCGAAGCAAACGGCAUCCUCAAAGUGACGGCGGAGGACAUCACAACUGGAAACAAGAAGAGCAUCAACAUCACCACGGACAAGGGCGGGCUGAGCAAGGAGGAGAUCGAACGCAUGGUGAAGGACGCCGAGAAGUACAGGUCGGAGGACAGGAAGAGGAUAAUGAAAAUGAAGAAGGAAGACGAGGAGGGCUGGCUG
Molecule: ribosomal RNA, 1455 nt
Filed under: Triticum aestivum (bread wheat)
Lineage: Eukaryota; Viridiplantae; Streptophyta; Magnoliopsida; Poales; Poaceae
Description: partial small subunit ribosomal RNA
Source: RNAcentral